RNAcentral lists this ribosomal RNA (450 nucleotides) under uncultured bacterium. RNAcentral describes it as "partial 16S ribosomal RNA". It matches the Rfam family "Bacterial small subunit ribosomal RNA", at positions 354 to 796 of the family's 1533-position model. The record is from RNAcentral.
GUGGGGAAUCUUCCGCAAUGGACGAAAGUCUGACGGAGCAACGCCGCGUGAGUGAUGAAGGUCUUCGGAUUGUAAAGCUCUGUUAAUCGGGACGAAAGAGCCUAGUGUGAAUAAUGCUAGGAAGUGACGGUACCGGAAUAGAAAGCCACGGCUAACUACGUGUCAGCAGCCGCGGUAAUACGUAGGUGGCAAGCGUUGUCCGGAAUUAUUGGGCGUAAAGCGCGCGCAGGCGGAUCUGCCAGUCUGUCUUAAAAGUUCGGGGCUUAACCCCGUGAUGGGAUGGAAACUACAGAUCUAGAGUAUCGGAGAGGAAAGUGGAAUUCCUAGUGUAGCGGUGAAAUGCGUAGAUAUUAGGAAGAACACCAGUGGCGAAGGCGACUUUCUGGACGAAAACUGACGCUGAGGCGCGAAAGCCAGGGGAGCGAACGGGAUUAGAAACCCCAGUAGUCC